This 700-nucleotide ribosomal RNA is filed under the name uncultured bacterium. RNAcentral describes it as "bacterial SSU rRNA". It matches the Rfam family "Bacterial small subunit ribosomal RNA", at positions 8 to 754 of the family's 1533-position model. The record is from RNAcentral.
AGAGUUUGAUCAUGGCUCAGAACGAACGCUGGCGGCAUGCCUAACACAUGCAAGUCGAACGAGACCUUCGGGUCUAGUGGCGCACGGGUGCGUAACGCGUGGGAAUCUGCCCUUCGGUUCGGAAUAACUCAGGGAAACUUGAGCUAAUACCGGAUAAUGACGUAAGUCCAAAGAUUUAUCGCCGAAGGAUGAGCCCGCGUAAGAUUAGCUAGUUGGUGAGGUAAAGGCUCACCAAGGCUACGAUCUUUAGCUGGUCUGAGAGGAUGAUCAGCCACACUGGGACUGAGACACGGCCCAGACUCCUACGGGAGGCAGCAGUGGGGAAUAUUGGACAAUGGGCGAAAGCCUGAUCCAGCAAUGCCGCGUGAGUGAUGAAGGCCUUAGGGUUGUAAAGCUCUUUUACCCGGGAUGAUAAUGACAGUACCGGGAGAAUAAGCUCCGGCUAACUCCGUGCCAGCAGCCGCGGUAAUACGGAGGGAGUUAGCGUUGUUCGGAAUUACUGGGCGUAAAGCGCACGUAGGCGGCUUUGUAAGUUAGAGGUGAAAGCCCGGGGCUCAACUCCGGAACUGCCUUUAAGACUGCAUCGCUUGAAUCCAGGAGAGGUGAGUGGAAUUCCGAGUGUAGAGGUGAAAUUCGUAGAUAUUCGGAAGAACACCAGUGGCGAAGGCGGCUCACUGGACUGGUAUUGACGCUGAGGUGC